Molecule: long non-coding RNA, 1830 nt
Organism: Onychomys torridus (southern grasshopper mouse)
Lineage: Eukaryota; Metazoa; Chordata; Mammalia; Rodentia; Cricetidae
Exons: 3
Source: RefSeq, a predicted model, not a curated record
GGCUUGCUAUGGCCCUCUGCCUCCUGCGUGCAGUGUAUUUGAAAGUCACUAAUGCCUUCUUCCUUGGAGGUGCGGGCUUGAACACUUUGUCUUGGUACCUCUGAGAAUCCCUGAGUGAGGAAGCUUUCCCUCCAGCAGCCUGUCCAGACUUCACUCCUGCUUAGCCAGCCCUGCGCAGGGAACACAGCCCAAUGGCUGCAUCACCCAUCCAUCUCCUCACACUUGUGGAAUGACUGGGAAGAACAGCACCAGCUUAAGAAGAGCUGUGGUGGAGCCCUGACCCAUCAAAGCAAGGUCCAGGUAAGCGGUGGAGCAGGCUGUGAAGCAGGAAGUGGAUGUUGUAUGCAAAUCUCUACGGAGAGGAAGCUGCUGCUCCGCAGGCUCCCCGUGGGCAGUGAAUCAACGGCUGAGAAGUCUCUCUAUUUCUUAAAACAGAAACCUCCUUCAUUUACCAGAGAGAGUCAGCAACCAAUUAGGCGCCGUCCUGAUUUUACCAUCCAGAUAAGAAACUGUGAGGAAUGCCCCGGCCUCGGGGGUGACUGCGGUGCCUGAGAAGGUGUCUCCGGGAGAUUGAACUUGAGUGUUCAGACUGUGUAUUCAUUAGCAGCUUCAAAUGAGGACACUGGGGCCUGAUGAUGGGAAGGAGUAUGAAGCAAGAGUUUUUUACUGUGUCCUUUAACUACCUAAAACACAUGUGCUGCCCAUAACUAAGGAGCAAGGAUUCACUGCCUAUACAGCUCUGUGCAGGAGUGUAUGAACACACACACACACACACACACACACACACACACACACACACACACCCCUCUGGCUUCUCAUUUCACAAUCUUAAGUGUCUUUCUUCCUUUUCCUCUGUUUAUUCAGUUGCCUACAGAAUUUAUUGCACACAGGGGGAUCCGAGAGGCAGGAUGCUGCUGCUGCAGCAAUGUGUUUGGAUAAUAUAAAUCCAGGUGAUUUCCUGUGCACUGGAGGGUGGUGGGAGCCAGUCCAGGUGUGAACUCAGUCAUGUCACAGGGCAGCAAGGCUCUUCACUGCACACCAGCUGCUGGACUCGACCACCUGUAGAAGGUGUCUCAGACUGAACCAGCCCUGGAAUCUGUCUGUCUUCCCACUCUCAUGGAGGGGACAAGACCUAGAAGACUCCCAACCAGGUUAUACCAGGUCUACCCAAGUUGCUCCACAUAUCAUAUGCAAAGGGAAUGAGGCUCGUUUUUUUCAGAGCUGAGGACCGAACCCAGGGCCUUGUACUUGCUAGGCAAGCGCUCUAUCACUGAGCUAAAUCCCCAACCCCUAGAGGCUCAUUUUUUAAACAAUCAUAAUAAAGGUGGUAUGCGCACACUGUGGUGUGUUUUUACAAUGAAGUGCUAUGUAGAUGUUAAAAUAAUAAAUAUGUGGAUUUGUUAUUUGUAAAAAUUAACAUGGAAAAGAGGCUCUGAGAAAUUAUUUAAUGAAACAUUAUUUUUGAUAAUACAUAUGAUCACACACACACACACACACACACACACACACACACACACAGAUGUUUACGUGUCCCCAGCAUCUAGGCCAUUGCCUGUGACAUUGUAGACAAUCACUCUAUACAUGUUGAAUGAUCAAGUCAGAAAUGCUUGAAGCUGGACCUCCUCAUUACACAGGCCUGUUAUUCCCAGACUGAUUCCCUCAGCCUUGAAUUUUCUGCUUCAAAAACUAUUAUCCAGUCUUUUGAGGAGGUGAGGGAAGACAACAUUCUUUGUGGAAUGGCUGAAACCAAGAGAACUGGAGGGGAGGGGGUAGCUAUCAGCGUUAGAUCAGGACAGGAAAGGAGAGAAGCAUGGCAUGGGAGGAGGGAAG